UACCAGCACCCCGAGUGGUCGGGACGUUUAUUGGGCCUAAAGCAUCCGUAGCCGGUUCUACAAGUCUUCCGUUAAAUCCACCUGCUUAACAGAUGGGCUGCGGAAGAUACUAUAGAGCUAGGAGGCGGGAGAGGCAAGCGGUACUCGAUGGGUAGGGGUAAAAUCCGUUGAUCCAUUGAAGACCACCAGUGGCGAAGGCGGCUUGCCAGAACGCGCUCGACGGUGAGGGAUGAAAGAUGGGGGAGCAAACCGG
Molecule: ribosomal RNA, 253 nt
Filed under: uncultured bacterium
Lineage: Bacteria
Description: partial 16S ribosomal RNA
Rfam family: Archaeal small subunit ribosomal RNA
Source: RNAcentral